AUCACUGGCGUCAACGUGAUGAUCGUAACUGCAGUUACGAUCAUCCCAAUAUGGUGGACACAAAUAUAGGGAAAUUUUAUAAGGCUGAUUACUCCACUUUAACAGGUUAUUUUCAGAUAUGUAUUAUUUCAAGAAACAUCUUUAUAAGCAUUGCCAAUGAAAUAUUUUUUCGGACUGGAUGGAAAAGCAACAAGAAGAAUGAAAAUCGA
RNAcentral lists this long non-coding RNA (209 nucleotides) under Mytilus galloprovincialis (Mediterranean mussel). The record is from RNAcentral. Lineage: Eukaryota; Metazoa; Mollusca; Bivalvia; Mytilida; Mytilidae.